UACACUUGCCUAGUUGCUUUUGGCUCAUUGUUUGGACUAUGGGAGCCAUUGGACAUGCAAUUUUAAUCUAAUCUUUUUAAAUUGAUCAUAUCAUAACAGUUGAUACGAAUUUAAUUUUAAAACCUCGUUUAUGUUCAGAAAAUGAGCAAAAUUGUAAAGCUAAAUGAAUUGAGUGACUGCAAAUGAAUGAGUAUGGAAAGCUCUGUUAACCAGGUACACAACUGAAGAAAAAGUCACUGAAGAAUACCCCAUCAAUGCCAAUUUUGUUUGUCGACAAGCUGUACCUGGAGAGUCAAGACUAAGCUCUUGUCCCUAUUUCAUGUUCUGUAUGGCCUGCAUAACUGCCGGGAAUCCUGGGUGAACCAGAUGAGUCUAUUCAUUUUUUUUUUAAAUUUAGAUUGGGCAAGAAGGAAAAUUCAACUUUCAGCAGCCAUGAAGAAAACAAACCUGAACCUGAUGUGAACAUUCCGUGCCAGCCACAUCUACCCAUCUAAACUGCCACAAUGUUUUAACGGAAAAAGCAAGAAUUCCAGAAAAGUAUUGGUCUGCUGUAAUGGAAGAUGUAGUUCCUUGCCAAGAUGGAAUUUUUUAAAACUUUAUCAAGAGCUAUUCAAUCUGAGGCAAAUGGCUUCCACGAUACAGUUGACAAGCAACAACCAGUCCUGUUUGGAAUUUGACGAAGAAGUUUGGUCGUCACUCGUCAAAGUUGAGAAAGAAGAAGACUGGAGCCUGAUAAGAACCUGUCUGUUGAUGCAAUUAAAACAAAGACAGACAAAAUGGAAACUGAAGAAAUGUUAAAGAAGAGUGGCGUUGAUACGGUAACGAUUUUAUGUAAUGGUCACACAAGAACAAUUACCGCAACACCAACUGCAAACUGGACUUAGAAUGAAAGUAAUUAUGCUGACCAUCUUUCUAACCUGAAUGCUACAGAUAUUGUUAGUUGAUGACCAGUUCUUUGCUCAUCUGUUUUAGAAAUUUCAGUCUAGUUUACAUGGGGAAAACUUGCCAACUGUAAUUCCUUUAAAAAUAGGAUUAACAGCCUGGUGAAGUCUGAGCUUUCCUUGCUGUCCGUUGGUUUUCUUGCAGUUGGAUGGUGAAACGUAUUAUAAAAUCAAAUUGAUGUGUUUCAUGCAGUCUUUCUUGCUGGUGUAAUCCUGUGAAGAAGUCCCGAAGUAUGUUAACUGUUAUUGAUUCGUAAAAUUUGUAAAAUGAUUACUCGAACGGAAACUUGGAA
This 1234-nucleotide long non-coding RNA is filed under the name Daphnia pulex (common water flea). RNAcentral describes it as "uncharacterized LOC124195611, transcript variant X6". The record is from RNAcentral. Lineage: Eukaryota; Metazoa; Arthropoda; Branchiopoda; Diplostraca; Daphniidae.